CUUGCUUCUCUUGAGAGCGGCGGACGGGUGAGUAAUGCCUAGGAAUCUGCCUGGUAGUGGGGGAUAACGUCCGGAAACGGACGCUAAUACCGCAUACGUCCUACGGGAGAAAGCAGGGGACCUUCGGGCCUUGCGCUAUCAGAUGAGCCUAGGUCGGAUUAGCUAGUUGGUGGGGUAAUGGCUCACCAAGGCGACGAUCCGUAACUGGUCUGAGAGGAUGAUCAGUCACACUGGAACUGAGACACGGUCCAGACUCCUACGGGAGGCAGCAGUGGGGAAUAUUGGACAAUGGGCGAAAGCCUGAUCCAGCCAUGCCGCGUGUGUGAAGAAGGUCUUCGGAUUGUAAAGCACUUUAAGUUGGGAGGAAGGGCAGUAAAUUAAUACUUUGCUGUUUUGACGUUACCGACAGAAUAAGCACCGGCUAACUCUGUGCCAGCAGCCGCGGUAAUACAGAGGGUGCAAGCGUUAAUCGGAAUUACUGGGCGUAAAGCGCGCGUAGGUGGUUCGUUAAGUUGGAUGUGAAAUCCCCGGGCUCAACCUGGGAACUGCAUUCAAAACUGACGAGCUAGAGUAUGGUAGAGGGUGGUGGAAUUUUCCUGUGUAGCGGUGAAAUG
This 614-nucleotide ribosomal RNA is filed under the name uncultured bacterium. RNAcentral describes it as "bacterial SSU rRNA". It matches the Rfam family "Bacterial small subunit ribosomal RNA", at positions 79 to 688 of the family's 1533-position model. The record is from RNAcentral.